This 760-nucleotide ribosomal RNA is filed under the name uncultured Pseudomonadota bacterium. RNAcentral's name for it is "bacterial SSU rRNA". It matches the Rfam family "Bacterial small subunit ribosomal RNA", at positions 28 to 776 of the family's 1533-position model. The record is from RNAcentral. Lineage: Bacteria; Pseudomonadati; Pseudomonadota.
AUUGAACGCUGGGCGGCAGGCCUAACACAUGCAAGUCGAACGGUAACAGGAAGAAGCUUGCUUCUUUGCUGACGAGUGGCGGACGGGUGAGUAAUGUCUGGGAAACUGCCUGAUGGAGGGGGAUAACUACUGGAAACGGUAGCUAAUACCGCAUAACGUCGCAAGACCAAAGAGGGGGACCUUCGGGCCUCUUGCCAUCGGAUGUGCCCAGAUGGGAUUAGCUAGUAGGUGGGGUAACGGCUCACCUAGGCGACGAUCCCUAGCUGGUCUGAGAGGAUGACCAGCCACACUGGAACUGAGACACGGUCCAGACUCCUACGGGAGGCAGCAGUGGGGAAUAUUGCACAAUGGGCGCAAGCCUGAUGCAGCCAUGCCGCGUGUAUGAAGAAGGCCUUCGGGUUGUAAAGUACUUUCAGCGGGGAGGAAGGGAGUAAAGUUAAUACCUUUGCUCAUUGACGUUACCCGCAGAAGAAGCACCGGCUAACUCCGUGCCAGCAGCCGCGGUAAUACGGAGGGUGCAAGCGUUAAUCGGAAUUACUGGGCGUAAAGCGCACGCAGGCGGUUUGUUAAGUCAGAUGUGAAAUCCCCGGGCUCAACCUGGGAACUGCAUCUGAUACUGGCAAGCUUGAGUCUCGUAGAGGGGGGUAGAAUUCCAGGUGUAGCGGUGAAAUGCGUAGAGAUCUGGAGGAAUACCGGUGGCGAAGGCGGCCCCCUGGACGAAGACUGACGCUCAGGUGCGAAAGCGUGGGGAGCAAACAGG